RNAcentral lists this transfer RNA (69 nucleotides) under Marmota monax (woodchuck). Its description in RNAcentral is "tRNA.Ala". Lineage: Eukaryota; Metazoa; Chordata; Mammalia; Rodentia; Sciuridae. The record is from RNAcentral.
GGGUAUAGUUCAGUGGUAGAGCACUUGCCUAGCAUAUGCAAUACCUUGGGUUUGAUCCCCAGUACUGCA